Molecule: transfer RNA, 61 nt
Filed under: Liposcelis bostrychophila
Lineage: Eukaryota; Metazoa; Arthropoda; Insecta; Psocodea; Liposcelididae
Description: tRNA-Leu
Source: RNAcentral
UACCUUAUAGCAAAUUAGUGCAUUGAAUUUAAGCUUCAAAUAUAGAGAAAUCUUAAGGUUA